Macaca fascicularis (crab-eating macaque) is the source of this 2450-nucleotide long non-coding RNA. The record is from Ensembl. Lineage: Eukaryota; Metazoa; Chordata; Mammalia; Primates; Cercopithecidae.
GGGGCAAGGUGGUCCUUUGUAGUUAGACUUUUCUGUGAACAUAAGGGUGGUGGGAUUUCCUAACCAUUAAAAAGGUGCUAUUUCGGCCAGGCAUGGUGGCUCACACUUGUAAUCCCAGCACUUUGGGAGGCCGAGGAGGGUGGAUCACGAGGCUGGUCUCGAACUGCUGACCUCAUGAUCCUCCUGCCUCAGCCUCCCAAAGUGCUGGGAUUACAGACAUGAGCCACCGUGCCCGGCCAAUUGUAGAAUAUUUUCAUUACCCCCCAAAGAAACCUCAUACCUAUUAACAGUCAUUUUCCAUUUUCCCAUUGCCUUUUCAUAGGCAAUUGCUAAUCUGUUCUUGCCUCUAUAGAUUUGCCUAUUCUGGACGUUUCAUAUAAAUUAAAUUAUUCAUUAUGUGAUCAUCUUUUGUGACUGACUUCUUUCACUUUGCAUAACGUUUUCAAGGUCUAUCCAUUCUAGCAUGCAUCAAUACUUCCUUUCUUUUUAUUGCUGAAUUAUACUCCAUUGUAUACCAUAUUUUGUUUAUCCAUUCAUCAGCUGGUGGACAUUUGGGUUGUUUCUCCUUUUUUGUUAUAAUGAAUGGUAUUGCUAAUAAACAUUCAGGUACAAAUUUUUGUGUGAACAUAUGUUUUCAGUUCUUUUGGCCAUGGACCUAGGAGUGGAAUUGAUGGAUCCAAUAGUAACUCUAUGUUUAAUCUUUUGAGGAACUGCCAAACUGUUUUCCAAAGCAGCUGUACCAUUUUACAUUUCCACCAGCAAUAUGAGGGUUCCAAUUUCUCCAUAUUUUUGCCAACACUUGGGUUUUUAAACAUUUUUAUUAUAGUGUAGGGGCAGAAAAGUGUGAUACCUUUCCUCACCCAUCAUAAGGCACAUGGCCAACACUGAUAACAAAAGAAAGGUUAACAAGAGAAAAGCAUAACAAAUUUAUUUAAUCAAAGUUUUAUGUGACACAGGAGUCUUCAGAAAUGAAGGCCCAACAACUUAGGGAAAACCAUUUAUUUUUUGCUUAGGUUUGAUUAAGAAGGGACAGCCUUAUAGAAAUGUGAUUGGACAAAGAGGUACAAGCGAAUGGGAAUAGACUGAGGGGGAAAACCCAGCAAGGCUUGUCCAGAUUCGUCUUGGCCUUUCUGUGGAGCCUCACUCUACCCUUCCCAGGUGUGGGGCAAGACUCCCCUGGAAUAAGGGCCUUCAAGGGAGAAAGGAGAGAGUGACAUUUCUAGGUUUUAUGGCUUGCUUUUGGAGAGAGGGUCUCUGGUUUCUAUGACUCACCUUAGAAGAAGAAUUCUCCUUUCUAUAACUCCCUUUAGGAGGAGAAAGAAGGGCAGGAGACAGGAGGAUGGGAGAAGGUCAGAGAGAUCUUUCUUCUGAGAUCCUUCCAAGUUCUUUAGUUCCAAGUACUUGGCAUGCUGUUGAGACUCAGAAAACAAUACCCCAAGAAGAAGACCUCAGCAGCAAAGGGCCUUGUUGUCUGGGGUAAAUACCUGGGGUCCGUCAUCUGGCGUCAAGAAGAUAAAGGACACAGACACACGUGAAGAGUGAGUUUAGGAGCAGAGGUUUAACAGGCAAAAGAAAGAGAAAGAAGAGCAGCUCUUCCUCUUGUGAGGAAGAGGAGGCAUCUGAAAGGGAAAAGUCGGCCCAUGGGGGACUGUGCCGGAUUUUAUAGACAGGCUUGAGGAGGGGGUGUCUGAUUUACAUAGGGCCCACAGAUUGGUUGGACCAGGUGUGACGUUUGCAUAGCUCGCAGGGAAGGCUGGUCACCCCACCCUAAUUUUAUUAUGCAAAUUGAGUCUUUCCCUGGCUGGCACCAUAUUAUCUUUUCCUUACUGUACACAUGGUUUGGCAAAGAUAAGCCGCCAUUUUGAACAUGGCUAGUCCCAGGUAGCCUUUGCCUAUUAGCACAACUGCUGGCACUCACCUGUACAAGCUUCCAUCCUGUCUAUGUCUGCAGCUCAAUUUUACAGGCUGCUCUUUGUUAGAAGAGAAUGAUUUGGGGGCUGCUUUCCAUUAAAAGGAAAUCCUUACUGAGGUUUCCUGUACCCUCACUAUCUGCCUAAGUAAUUUCUUCUUAACUUCUAUAUCAGCAGCAACCUCAGAAGCAAAAAGUUUCUUCUGACCUUCUCAUGCUCUCCUGUCUCUCAGUCCCAUUCUCCCCAGAGGCCAGCCAUAGAAACUAGAAUCCCUCUUCCCCAAGGCGGGUCAUCAAAAUCAGAACCCUUUUCCCCAGAGCUAGUCAUAAAACCUAAAAAUAUUACUCUAAUUUACUCCAGUUAUCACCAAAAUAAUUAGAUAAUAUGGAAAUUAUCAAAUAUUACUCUAAUUUCCUCCACCUUUCCAUGUAAAAACUGGUCAUAAAGAAAUCAUCUGGGCCAGGCGUGGUGGUGGCUUACUCCUAUAAUCCAAGCAGUUUGGGAGGCUGAGGUGAGACUGUCUCAAAAAAAAAAAAAAAA